Eriocheir sinensis (Chinese mitten crab) is the source of this 870-nucleotide long non-coding RNA. RefSeq lists it as uncharacterized. The record is from RefSeq and is a predicted model, not a curated record. NCBI's taxonomy places the organism in Eukaryota, Metazoa, Arthropoda, Malacostraca, Decapoda, Varunidae. The transcript is spliced from 3 exons.
GCGGGUGUACAUGUAGAGUAAUGCAACCUAACAAAGCUGAUGCAGUGAAUUUUCAUAGAACCCAAGUAUAUACAUACAAACAUUUCUAAAUGAAUUUAUGUGCUGGGGAGAAGACUCAAUGAAGAGCAGAAGAGGAAGAGGAAUUCUUUGUCAUGUGGGUGUACAUGUAGAGUAACACGACCCAACAUUAACAUAAUAUAAAUUAAACUGGAUAUUCCAAAAUAUAUUUGAUACCAAUUAUAUACACUGUCCAAAUGAAUUAAUAGAGUAAAGAAAGUGAAGUAAGUUCCCCCACCAGUAUUUUAUCAAAUUUAUUUAAAUUUUAACCAAACCUAACCUAAUCUCUUCAAGACUAAAAUAAUACUUAAUUUACUGUGUGUCCGUUGUUAGCGUAACUUAUAGGAGACACUGUACAUCAGUUAUGAAUGAAUGUAUAUUAAGAGCACAGUAACAUUCAGAAGACAAAUCCAAAAUCAUUCCUAAGAACCCUUCACUGUUACAGGGCACACAAGAAAACCCGGAGUAUUGUGGAACGAGGAAUAGGCCAACUGAAACGUUGGUUCCAUGUCCUCCAUGGUGAAGUCCGGCUCAACCCUGAAAAAACCUGCCAAGUGAUCCUUGCCUGUGCUCUGCUUCACAACAUAUGCAAGAAGAGGAAUAUUCAGCUGCCAGAUGAAAAUGUCGCAGAUGCGGAUGACAAUAUGGAGGUUGAAGAUGAACAUCAAGAAGUGCAGUUGCCACAGGAUGCAGCAAAUGGAACACGUUUCAGGGAGGUGUUCUGCAACCACCAUUUCCAUGCCGAGCCAUGAAUCCAUAUCAGCCUGUACAAGUUGACACAUCUUCAAGCAACACGUCAACCAUGCAUGGGGC